UACGGAGGGUGCGAGCGUUGUUCGGAAUCAUUGGGCGUAAAGGGCGUGCAGGCGGCUGGGUAAGUCUGAUGUGAAAGCCCGGGGCUCAACCCCGGAAGUGCAUUGGAAACUGUCCAGCUUGAGUACCGGAGAGGAUGGGGGAAUUCCCGGUGUAGAGGUGAAAUUCGUAGAGAUCGGGAGGAAUACCAGUGGCGAAGGCGCCCAUCUGGACGGAUACUGACGCUGAGACGCGAAAGCGUGGGGAGCAAACAGG
RNAcentral lists this ribosomal RNA (253 nucleotides) under uncultured bacterium. RNAcentral describes it as "partial 16S ribosomal RNA". It matches the Rfam family "Bacterial small subunit ribosomal RNA", at positions 524 to 776 of the family's 1533-position model. The record is from RNAcentral.